UGCCUACGGGAGGCAGCAGUAGGGAAUAUUGGUAAUGGGCGAAAGCCUGAACCAGCAACGCCGCGUGUGCGAUGAAGGCCUUCGGGUUGUAAAGCACUUUUGACCGGGACGAGGAAGGACGGUACCGGUGGAAUAAGCCUCGGCUAACUACGUGCCAGCAGCCGCGGUAAAACGUAGGAGGCGAGCGUUAUCCGGAUUUACUGGGUGUAAAGCGCGUGCAGGCGGUAAGCUAAGUUGGGUGUGAAAGCUCCUGGCGCAACUGGGAGAGGUCGCUCAAGACUGGCUGACUCGAGGAUGGUAGGGGAAGGUGGAAUUCCGGGUGUAGUGGUGAAAUGCGUAGAUAUCCGGAGGAACACCAGUGGCGAAGGCGGCCUUCUGGACCAUCACUGACGCUCAGACGCGAAAGCUAGGGUAGCAAACGGGAUUAGAUACCCUAGUAGUCUG
This 444-nucleotide ribosomal RNA is filed under the name uncultured Anaerolinea sp. RNAcentral's name for it is "bacterial SSU rRNA". It matches the Rfam family "Bacterial small subunit ribosomal RNA", at positions 335 to 797 of the family's 1533-position model. Lineage: Bacteria; Bacillati; Chloroflexota; Anaerolineae; Anaerolineales; Anaerolineaceae. The record is from RNAcentral.